Long non-coding RNA from Pygocentrus nattereri (red-bellied piranha), 1510 nucleotides. The record is from Ensembl. Lineage: Eukaryota; Metazoa; Chordata; Actinopteri; Characiformes; Serrasalmidae.
UGGCUAAAUAACUUCCCGGCGCUGCAUUAGGAAGAAUGGGAGGGAGACUGGUCACCAGUUUUGGCAUCAGGCUAAUAUCUUUUAUUUUCCUUAACCGCGGACACUUAUAGUCUGUUUUUGUAUAGUAGUUUUUUUUUUAGAUAUACUGUCUGUGAGCAGUAUGGAUUUACCCAUUGACUCCAGCCUGUUCUUGUCGGAUGACCAAGAUGUGGCCAAACUGGUGCAGGAAGAAUUCCAAAAACAAAUACUUGCGGACAGUGAGAAAUCUCAAAAGGCCCAAAACGCAAGGAAGAAUACGGAUCUCUGGGACAGUCUAUGGAACUCUGUUGACCCAGUAGUUAAUAAACUGGUUAAUCAAGUGGCCAGUCCCGUCUUUAGUCCGGUCUUCUGCUUGGCUUGUGACACCAUGUUCUUCAAUAGGCUGACCCUUGAGGAGCAUGUCUGCCCUUUUGUUAGCUUCAUUUGUUCGUGUGGUAUUGGUUUCACCAGUUAUCCUGAAAUGUGGUCCCACAGUCUGUCCCACAACCACAAAGCAUCGUACGUAGUGAAUCACAAAAGUGCUAUCCAGAACAGGAUCAAUUCAGUUAAAGAGCAGGAAUCCAAGCUGAAGUUUUUAGAGGCUACUGCGAAGAACGUCGGCAUUGUCCAGAAGGCCGUUCCGGCCACACAUUCUGCUACAUCUAUGACGAGGUACGCCGUCGGACGAACGAUUAACCUUUGGAGGCGUUUCAAACCAGUGGUGAAGAUCGAGACUCUUCAGGCGUUUCCCUGUCAAAGGAAUUACAUGUGCAUGGUUUGCCGCGAAGUGAUGUGUAAUCAGGACGUGCUCAUCGAGCAUGUCCAUGCCUCACACCAUAACACCUGCAUAUAUGGCUGCAUUCGCUGCGGGCUGCUUUUGAUAAGCAGCGUGACUCCGAAACCUCACCACAAGUGCGGCUCCCUUUACACCGGCCCUUCCAAAAGGUUCACUGUUGGCCACGUGGUUAAAGACCCUCUGGCAGCAGACAGACUGUAUAUGCCUUAUGCUUGUCAGUACUGCUCUCUGAAAUUUUGUCAUCCAGUGCACCUAAGCAACCACAUCCAUCUCAACCACACCAACGUAUCCAAACUGCGUGUAAACAAGUCGCAAGGAAGCAGCGCCAAAAGAGUCCAGCACACUUUGAAGAACAUGCCAAACAGAACCUCACAAACUCAAAAACAGAGGUGCGCGCUUUGCGGCAAAAUGAACGACUCAAUCAAGAUGCUUGCGCAGCACUGGUGCGUGAGGAAGCUGACUUUGUUCAAGGCUGAGAAGGUCACAAAGAUGAUCAGCGAGAAAGACCAACAAAGAUCAGACUGGUGCUCACCAAUAGAGAGUGACAGCGAAGAACUGACCUUCUGCUUUCAGGACAUCAGUGACAUGACGACGCAUGGUCAUACAAAGCUACUGACGAUAAAAACGGAGCCGGUAGAGGUGAACCUGAAGAUGACCCAAACAGACUUUUCUCAGAGGGCUACUGACCGUUUCUGA